UACGUAGGGGUCGAGCGUUGUCCGGAGUUACUGGGCGUAAAGCGUGCGUAGGUGGUGAGUUAAGUCUGUCGUGAAAGCCCCGGGCUCAACCUGGGAAUGGCGAUGGAUACUGGCUCGCUAGAGUGCGGUAGAGGAGAGUGGAAUUCCCGGUGUAGCAGUGAAAUGCGUAGAGAUCGGGAGGAACAUCAGUUGCGAAGGCGGCUCUCUGGACCAGCACUGACACUGAGGCACGAAAGCGUGGGGAGCAAACAGG
This 253-nucleotide ribosomal RNA is filed under the name uncultured bacterium. RNAcentral's name for it is "partial 16S ribosomal RNA". It matches the Rfam family "Bacterial small subunit ribosomal RNA", at positions 524 to 776 of the family's 1533-position model. The record is from RNAcentral.